AGAGCCUUGGCGCUCCCUGGGAGUCUGGUCGGCGGGCUGUGGGGUCCCAAAAUCGUGACCCCAGCCCCUCUCCCCUCCUCCCCCACCAUCUCCCAUGUCAGGAUCAGUUCGAGGUGCUCGAGCGCCACACGCAGUGGGGGCUGGACCUGUUGGACAGAUAUGUAAAGUUCGUGAAAGAACGCACCGAAGUGGAACAGGCUUACGCCAAACAACUGCGGAGCCUGGUGAAAAAAUAUCUGCCCAAGAGACCUGCCAAGGAUGAUCCUGAGUCCAAGUUCAGCCAGCAACAGUCCUUCGUACAGAUUCUCCAGGAGGUGAAUGACUUUGCAGGCCAGCGGGAGCUGGUGGCCGAGAACCUCAGUGUCCGUGUAUGUCUUGAGCUGACCAAGUACUCACAAGAGAUGAAACAGGAGAGGAAGAUGCACUUCCAAGAAGGGCGGCGGGCCCAGCAGCAGCUGGAAAACGGCUUCAAACAGCUGGAGAAUGUGAGUUUGCAGAGGUGGCAGUGACUGUAGCCCGGAGGCACGGGGGCAGGGUUGCGGAUCCCGGAGUCAGGGAGCUGCCCUCUUUGACAGACCUGGACCUUCCCUCCCCCAUAGGCUUCCAGUAUGCCCUUGUCCCCUACUUACUGGAUGACAUCCCAAUAAUCCCCGAAACCUUGGUUUCCCACCCUGCUGUCUUUGGGAUGGUGGCUCCCUCACUCUGGUUCUGUCCCCUACACAGAGUAAGCGUAAAUUUGAGCGGGACUGCCGGGAGGCAGAGAAGGCAGCCCAGACUGCUGAACGGCUAGACCAGGAUAUCAACGCCACCAAGGCUGAUGUGGAGAAGGCCAAGCAGCAAGCCCACCUUCGGAGUCAUAUGGCUGAAGAAAGCAAAAACGAAUAUGCAGCUCAACUGCAGCGCUUCAACCGAGACCAAGCCCACUUCUAUUUUUCACAGAUGCCGCAGAUAUUCGAUGUGAGUGCUCCCAGUUCUCAGACCUACCUUCCCGAAAGCCUCCAAAUGUUAGCC
This 1011-nucleotide small RNA is filed under the name Pongo abelii (Sumatran orangutan). RNAcentral's name for it is "retained intron". The record is from RNAcentral. Lineage: Eukaryota; Metazoa; Chordata; Mammalia; Primates; Hominidae.